RNAcentral lists this ribosomal RNA (912 nucleotides) under uncultured archaeon. Its description in RNAcentral is "bacterial SSU rRNA". It matches the Rfam family "Archaeal small subunit ribosomal RNA", at positions 1 to 922 of the family's 1478-position model. The record is from RNAcentral.
UCYGGUUGAUCCUGCCRGACCCGACUGCUAUCAGAGUAGGACUAAGCCAUGCGAGUCAACGCCGCAAGGCGUGGCAUACGGCUCAGUAACACGUAGUCAACAUGCCCAAAGGACGUGGAUAACCUCGGGAAACUGAGGAUAAACCGCGAUAGGCCAAGGUUUCUGGAAUGAGCCAUGGCCGAAACCUAUAUGGCCUUUGGAUUGGACUGCGGCCGAUCAGGCUGUUGGUGAGGUAAUGGCCCACCAAACCUGUAACCGGUACGGGCUUUGAGAGAAGGAGCCCGGAGAUGGGCACUGAGACAAGGGCCCAGGCCCUAUGGGGCGCAGCAGGCGCGAAACCUCUGCAAUAGGCGAAAGCUUGACAGGGUUACUCUGAGUGAUGCCCGUUAAGGGUAUCUUUUGGCACCUCUAAAAAUGGUGCAGAAUAAGGGGUGGGCAAGUCUGGUGUCAGCCGCCGCGGUAAUACCAGCACCCCGAGUUGUCGGGACGAUUAUUGGGCCUAAAGCAUCCGUAGCCUGUUCUGCAAGUCCUCCGUUAAAUCCACCUGCUUAACGGUUGGGCCGCGGGGGAUACUGCAGAGCUAGGAGGCGGGAGAGGCAAACGGUACUCAGUGGGUAGGGGUAAAAUCCUUUGAUCUACUGAAGACCACCAGUGGCGAAGGCGGUUUGCCAGAACGCGCUCGACGGUGAGGGAUGAAAGCUGGGGGAGCAAACCGGAUUAGAUACCCGGGUAGUCCCAGCUGUAAACGAUGCAGACUCGGUGGAUGGGUUGGCCUCGGGCCAACCCAGUGCCGCAGGGAAGCCGUUAAGUCUGCCGCCUGGGGAGUACGGUCGCAAGACUGAAACUUAAAGGAAUUGGCGGGGGAGCACCACAAGGGGUGAAGCCUGCGGUUCAAUUGGABUCAACGCCGGR